CACCGGAGAGGGAGCCUGAGAAACGGCUACCACAUCCAAGGAUGGCAGCAGGCGCGCAAAUUACCCAAUCCCGACACGGGGAGGUAGUGACAAUAAAUAACAAUACGGGGUUCUUUAGGAUCUCGUAAUUGGAAUGAGUACAAUUUAAAUCUCUUAACGAGGAACAAUUGGAGGGCAAGUCUGGUGCCAGCAGCCGCGGUAAUUCCAGCUCCAAUAGCGUAUAUUAAAGUUGUUGCAGUUAAAAAGCUCGUAGUUGAAUUUCGGGGUUAGUAGGUUGGUCAUGCCUCUGGUAUGUACUGGUCUCACUGAUUCCUCCUUCCUUAUGAACCGUAAUGCCAUUAAUUUGGUGUUGCGGGGAAUUUGGACUGUUACUUUGAAAAAAUUAGAGUGUUUAAAGCAAGCUAACGCUUGAAUACAUUAGCAUGGAAUAAUGAAAUAGGACGUUCGAUCUUAUUUUGUUGGUUUCUAGGAUUGACGUAAUGAUUAAUAGGGAUAGUUGGGGGCAUUAGUAUUCAAUUGUCAGAGGUGAAAUUCUUGGAUUUAUUGAAGACUAACUACUGCGAAAGCAUUUGCCAAGGAUGUUUUCAUUAAUCAAGAACGAAAGUUAGGGGAUCGAAGACGAUCAGAUACCGUCGUAGUCUUAACCAUAAACUAUGCCGACUAGGGAUCGGAUGAUGUUAAUUUUUUAAUGACUCAUUCGGCGCCUUACGGGAAACCA
This 718-nucleotide ribosomal RNA is filed under the name uncultured fungus. RNAcentral describes it as "SSU rRNA". It matches the Rfam family "Eukaryotic small subunit ribosomal RNA", at positions 381 to 1100 of the family's 1831-position model. Lineage: Eukaryota; Fungi. The record is from RNAcentral.